AGAGUUUGAUCAUGGCUCAGGAUGAACGCUGGCGGCGUGCCUAAUACAUGCAAGUCGAACGAGGUACUUUUGUAGUAAUACGAAAGUGUCCUAGUGGCGAACGGGUGAGUAACGCGUUGGUGACCUACCCCAAAGUGUGGGAUAACAGUUCGAAAGGAUUGCUAAUACCGCAUGUGGUCUUCGGAUUUAGAAACUGAUGACUAAAGGAGUAAUCCGCUUUGGGAGGGACCUGCGUCCCAUCAGCUAGUUGGUGAGGUAAUGGCUCACCAAGGCUACGACGGUAGGGGACCUGAGAGGGUGACCCCCCACAAUGGAACUGAAACACGGUCCAUACACCUACGGGUGGCAGCAGUAGGGAAUAUUGCACAAUGGGCGAAAGCCUGAUGCAGCAACGCCGCGUGUGCGAUGAAGGCCUUCGGGUCGUAAAGCACUUUUCUGAGGGAUGAGCAAGGACAGUACCUCAGGAAUAAGUCUCGGCUAACUACGUG
RNAcentral lists this ribosomal RNA (488 nucleotides) under uncultured bacterium. RNAcentral describes it as "bacterial SSU rRNA". It matches the Rfam family "Bacterial small subunit ribosomal RNA", at positions 8 to 507 of the family's 1533-position model. The record is from RNAcentral.